This 758-nucleotide ribosomal RNA is filed under the name uncultured bacterium. RNAcentral describes it as "bacterial SSU rRNA". It matches the Rfam family "Bacterial small subunit ribosomal RNA", at positions 100 to 848 of the family's 1533-position model. The record is from RNAcentral.
GAACGGGUGAGUAAUACAUAGGUAACCUGCCCCUGUGCGGGGGAUAACAGGAGGAAACUCCUGCUAAUACCGCAUAGCCAUGAGCACCGCAUGGAGCUCAUGCCAAAUAUCCUUUCGGGGAUAGCGCAGGGAUGGACCUAUGGCGCAUUAGCUUGUUGGCGGGGCAACGGCCCACCAAGGCAACGAUGCGUAGCCGGCCUGAGAGGGCGGACGGCCACAUUGGGACUGAGACACGGCCCAGACUCCUACGGGAGGCAGCAGUAGGGAAUUUUCGGCAAUGGGGGAAACCCUGACCGAGCAACGCCGCGUGAGCGAAGAAGGCCUUCGGGUCGUAAAGCUCUGUUGUAAAGGAAGAACGGCGCAUACAGGAAAUGGUAUGCGAGUGACGGUACUUUACCAGAAAGCCACGGCUAACUACGUGCCAGCAGCCGCGGUAAUACGUAGGUGGCGAGCGUUAUCCGGAAUCAUUGGGCGUAAAGAGGGAGCAGGCGGCCGCAAGGGUCUGUGGUGAAAGCCCGAAGCUAAACUUCGGUAAGCCAUGGAAACCGGGCGGCUAGAGUGCGGAAGAGGAUCGUGGAAUUCCAUGUGUAGCGGUGAAAUGCGUAGAUAUAUGGAGGAACACCAGUGGCRAAGGCGACGGUCUGGGCCGCAACUGACGCUCAUUCCCGAAAGCGUGGGGAGCAAAUAGGAUUAGAUACCCUAGUAGUCCACGCCGUAAACGAUGGUCACUAAGUGUCGGGGGUCAAACCCCGGUGCUG